RNAcentral lists this transfer RNA (74 nucleotides) under Bacteroidales bacterium. RNAcentral describes it as "tRNA-Arg". It matches the Rfam family "tRNA". Rfam says of the family: Transfer RNA (tRNA) molecules are approximately 80 nucleotides in length. Their secondary structure includes four short double-helical elements and three loops (D, anti-codon, and T loops). The record is from RNAcentral. Lineage: Bacteria; Pseudomonadati; Bacteroidota; Bacteroidia; Bacteroidales.
GGCUCGUUAGCUCAGCGGAUUAGAGCAUGGCGUUUCUACCGCCAGUGUCGGGAGUUCGAAUCUCUCACGAGUCA